This 206-nucleotide ribosomal RNA is filed under the name uncultured bacterium. Its description in RNAcentral is "partial 16S ribosomal RNA". It matches the Rfam family "Bacterial small subunit ribosomal RNA", at positions 568 to 774 of the family's 1533-position model. The record is from RNAcentral.
UACGUAGGUGGUUUAUUAAGUCAGAUGUGAAAGCCCUGGGCUUAACCUGGGAACUGCAUUUGAUACUGGUAAACUAGAGUAUGGUAGAGGGGGUAGAAUUCCUAGUGUAGCGGUGAAAUGCGUAGAUAUUAGGAGGAAUACCAGUGGCGAAGGCGGCCCCCUGGGCCUAUACUGACACUGAGGUACGAAAGCGUGGGUAGCGAACA